CGUUCUAAGGGCGGUGAAGUCAGACCGGAAGGACUGGUGGAGCGCUUAGAAGUGAGAAUGCCGGUAUGAGUAGCGAAAGAAGGGUGAGAAUCCCUUCCACCGAAUAUCUAAGGUUUCCUGAGGAAGGCUCGUCCGCUCAGGGUUAGUCGGGACCUAAGCCGAGGCCGAUAGGCGUAGGCGAUGGACAACAGGUAGAGAUUCCUGUACCAGUGCUAAUUGUUUAACCGAUGGGGUGACACAGAAGGAUAGGGAAUCGCACGAAUGGAAAUGUGCGUCCAAGCAGUGAGUGUGAG
This 293-nucleotide ribosomal RNA is filed under the name Listeria monocytogenes. Its description in RNAcentral is "partial 23S ribosomal RNA". It matches the Rfam family "Bacterial large subunit ribosomal RNA", at positions 1237 to 1529 of the family's 2925-position model. Lineage: Bacteria; Bacillati; Bacillota; Bacilli; Caryophanales; Listeriaceae. The record is from RNAcentral.